CUUUUGAAAUGCAUGACAAAAAGGAGAUUUACCAAAACACUGAACAGCCAGGACGAACAAAAAACACACUUUAGCAUCUCUAAUUCUGGACAGUCCCUAAAAAGCCUCUAAAACAAGUACAGUUUUACUGUAAAUGAAAUGCUCUUCUUCUAUAUAAGGGACUUUCUCUGCUCUGUGUUUCUAGGAUGCUGACAAGGCCAAGUGCAGGAACACACCUGUGAUCAUCUGUCGUCAGCCAUCCUCUGCCCAGAUGCCAGGCUGGGAAUCACUGCCCUAGGACAAGCUCACUGGCCACAUCCACCCUCUGCUCUGCCCUAAAGGCCUUCCUGUGAAUUUGGGUCAUGGCUGAACUUCUUUCAUCCUCCCCCAUGGAUGACGAUGAGGAGGAUUACAACAGAGACAAAAUAAGCACCCAGCUGAUAACCGAAGAAACAAAGAGGGCUGCCAGCUCCAGCCUGUCGCCCUCACAUUACCAGAAAAAAAGACACAGAGCUGUUUGGUGAAGUGUUGAUCCCCAUGUUUUUACUCCGUCUUUUCACACAGACAAAGAAAAGGCUGCUCAAAAACACCGUCAAAAGAUAAUCCUCUCAAAUUCUGCCUAUCAAAUGGAUUUCAGAAUAAAAUGUUAUUCAUUUUUGAGAUAUUUUGUGCUGUUGGCAAACAGUUUAAUCCAGCGCAAAUCCUUCAGCAUGAGAAAUCAAUCAAAUCUUUAAAGCAGCAAAAGGGUUAAUCUGUUUAGCAGGAGGCCGAAUGUGCCCAUAAACAGCCAGGGACAUUCCUUUGAGCAUCAUUUGUUCUUUAUGUCAUUGUCUGAUAAUCUUUAAAAAGGAUAAAUGUCUAGAAUGAAUAGAUCAGACUGACAAGUGUAACGCUAGUAGAUCUGUGAUUCAGAGCGCCACUGUCGUCCUAAAACUGGGGAAAAAACAAAGAGGUGAAAUGAUAUCUCAAUCAUAAGCACUUACAUCACAAAUACAAGCUUCAAGUUCAGCUCAUGCUCAUAUUUCAGAGUUUUAUACACACAGAUAUGAAGUUUACUGGGUAUUCCUCUUGACGUGAUUGGGCAUGUUGCAGAAACUGACAGAGGUAACCUUGCAUUGUCCAGGUUCCAUCUUUGAUUUGGCGGCUCCAUCUUGCAAAGCUUCAAACCUUUAACCAACAGCAGCCAGAAAAGCUAUGUCAGUGUCCUUUUUUAAAAUCCCUUUUAAAAACAUAUUUCUAUUGGAAAGCCUUCUUAUGAACCAUCCUGUGUUUUAUCUACGAUCCCUUGUCUGUAUGAUUGUUUUUCCAUUGGUCAAGGUUUUUAAUAUUUUAUCCCAUUUCUCCUUCCUUUGUAUUCCUCUAUUUAGUCUGUCAAACUUGUUACUAUUAUUUUUUUUUAAAUCAAUGAUUAUUUUUCUUUUUAUUGUGUUUUUUUUACUGAUGAACUUUUCU
Long non-coding RNA from Cheilinus undulatus (humphead wrasse), 1431 nucleotides. RefSeq lists it as uncharacterized. NCBI's taxonomy places the organism in Eukaryota, Metazoa, Chordata, Actinopteri, Labriformes, Labridae. The record is from RefSeq and is a predicted model, not a curated record. The transcript is spliced from 3 exons.